This 492-nucleotide ribosomal RNA is filed under the name uncultured bacterium. Its description in RNAcentral is "partial 16S ribosomal RNA". It matches the Rfam family "Bacterial small subunit ribosomal RNA", at positions 29 to 507 of the family's 1533-position model. The record is from RNAcentral.
AGUGAACGCUGGCGGUAGGCCUAACACAUGCAAGUCGAACGGCAGCACAGUAAGAGCUUGCUCUUACGGGUGGCGAGUGGCGGACGGGUGAGGAAUACAUCGGAGUCUACUUUUUCGUGGGGGAUAACGUAGGGAAACUUACGCUAAUACCGCAUACGUCCUACGGGUGAAAGCAGGGGAUCUUCGGACCUUGCGUGAUUGAAUGAGCCGAUGUCGGAUUAGCUAGUUGGCGGGGUAAAGGCCCACCAAGGCGACGAUACGUAGCUGGUCUGAGAGGAUGAUCAGCCACACUGGAACUGAGACACGGUCCAGACUCCUACGGGAGGCAGCAGUGGGGAAUAUUGGACAAUGGGCGCAAGCCUGAUCCAGCCAUACCGCGUGAGUGAAGAAGGCCUUCGGGUUGUAAAGCCCUUUUGUUGGGAAAGAAAAGCAGCAGGUUAAUACCCCGCUGUUCUGACGGUACCCAAAGAAUAAGCACCGGCUAACUUCGUG